RNAcentral lists this long non-coding RNA (5088 nucleotides) under Sus scrofa (pig). RNAcentral's name for it is "lncRNA (ENSSSCG00015037478.1)". The record is from RNAcentral. Lineage: Eukaryota; Metazoa; Chordata; Mammalia; Artiodactyla; Suidae.
ACUGGGGACUCUCCCCCAACUUACCAGGCCCCAGAAGUUAUUUCCCAGGCAGCGUUUUGACCAAGAUUGACAGAAAAAACUCACUAAGGGAGCCCCAAGGAAAGAACUUCGGUGAGCAAGACUUGAGGAAGAGGGCGUUAGGCCGCUGUUGUCCAGGACACGUCAGUUACAUGUGAAUCCCUUCUGGCAAUUCAGCAAUAGCCAUUGUAACUUUCAGGUUUUUGAUGUGGUCUCCUUUUUGCAGACAAUAGAGUUAUAUCCUCUCUUACUUCUGAGGUCUGCUGCCUUGUGGCAGAAGUUGGUAAGGGGGCUUGCGACCACAUGGAAAUUUUCCACUUGGAAAUUCACACAUUGUUUCCUCUUGGUUUAUCGGUAGGCAGAAGUUACUACAUGGAGGGAGGGGGGAAACUGGUUUAACCUUGGCUGCUUGAUAGUGGAUCUGAAAGUCUAGUAUUGCAUGAGAAGUCCCUGCUAGAUAAAAUGUAAUAUUGGGGUCCCAUCUCCAGUGACUGUGGUUUAGUAGUUCCGGGUGGGCCUUGGCAGUAUACGUUUUUGAGCAAGCACCCCAAUAACUCUCAUAUGCAUGUUUCAAGACCUCGUGAUGUGGAGUACUGAUCUAGGUCCUCUUAGAACAGGAUGGAAGUUUGCUGAAGCGGGGACAAGAUUGGCCAUUGUGAAUGAUACUAACAUUGUGAUUAAGAGAACAAAUGUCUCUUUAGAUCUAAAGUCCUAAGCUUUUUGUCUUAGGCUGAAUUCCCCAGGAGGAGAGCCUAGACUGGUAUUUGGGUGUAUGUGAUGCAUUGGCGUGGUCUCAGGAAAAAGAUUAUAAAGGAAGUAGGAGAGCGCAAAGUAAGGCCCUAAGCAAGGGUGUGGGUUCAGCCGGAGGCUAGCUUUACUCGGAUCCCACAGGGAGCUCUGCGCGUGAGUUGUACCACAUGGCAUAUCCCACCCUGAGGAAAGAAGGCUAGCUUUUGGUACCUUUUGACAGCCAGUCACUGGCUGUGAGCUACCCUGGGAUGGGAGAUAGAAUCUUCUGGAUGAGCAGAGGGCAGAUCUCCAGGGAGAAGGCCUCUGUUGCCAUUAGCAACCAACCCUCAUGGCCACUGGGGAAUGGAUGCACCAGCCAGGUAAAAGGGACCGAGAAGAGUCACCAACAGCAUCCAUUGUGUUAUGACACCGUAGUGUCACAUGAGAGGCAUUUCACACUAUGGCUCCUGUUCUUGGUCACCCUGGCCACUCUUGCUGCUAUAAGCUUGCUACUCUUAAGUUUUUUGUUUGUUUGUUAUCAUUACAAGGGAAAACAUGGAUAGCAAAAAUAUUUGGCUUUUUGCUUUUUAGUAUUUCCCUUCUUGUGCUUUAGUAAAAAUUGUCAUCCUGCAGCAAAGUGUAGAUAAUAUGGCAGCAUCCUUUGUCAAUUUUGUCUCCUCACUUGAAGAAACAAUGACUUUGAAUACUGAAUUAUGGGUCCUUAGGCUGUAGUGAAAUCUUAAUGUGCUUUACUCAAAACUUCCUUUGCAGAUGAGUCCGUCUCACGCUUCUUGUAAUGAGAUUGCUCGUGGGGGAUGUUCGUUUGUUUAGGACUUUCUGUGAGAAAUAUGCUGUUCUGGAGACUAUUGAACUGGUUGUCAUUGGUUACUUGGCUUUAUUAAAUAAAACAGCCUCUUCUCAACUACCUUCUGUGGAACAUUAGUGUCUUUUGUACUGUAUUCUAUAGGAAAUAAGUCCUAUGGUCAAAUAAUUUUGGAGGGGAGGUGUUCUGUAUACUGUUUCCUUCUAGGAGAUUCACAGAGCACUUUGGCCUGUUAGAAGGUUCUCCAGACCCUGCAGGAAAGAAAACUGUUUACUCUUGCUUGGCUGAUCGAUUCUCAAACCUACCUGCUCAUGGAGAUGCUUGUCAUCACUGCCUCCCUCCUUUUUAUUUUUUCAGAAUACACAUUACCAGUUUACAGGACUAAUGUUCCAUAGUACACAGUUUGGAGAAUACCGAAAUGAAACUUUAUUCCUCAUCAUGUAUUACCAGGGCUUUCUGAGCAGCGAAGAACCAGUUCCACUCUUUUAUGUUGUAAAACCGGUCUCGACGCCUUAUCUACAUGCAAGGCAGGUGCAAAGCAGAUUUGGGGAUCAAAGUAGUCUCUGGAGAAAAAGGAUAGGUUAUUUGUUUGUCAUGCUGAAGGGGCUGUAAAAACAGUAACAUACUUAAUGAGGCUUCACUAUGGAUAUAUUAGUCUCCAUAAAACAUUUUAUUUAGCCUAACCUACAAUUACUUAAUGGCCAGUGAGUUUCAUAAACAGCUAGUCCCCAGCCUCAAACAUAUAUUAAGUGUCUGUUCUUUUGUGGAGUGAGUUUGCCAGGGAGAGUCAUGCAAGAUUAAAAAGAUAGAACAUUAAAAAUUCAGCCAAGACACACCAGGGCUGCCCUGAUGAUAACAACUACGGUGUGAUGUUUCUCAGUUCAUAUGGAUUCCCCAUACUGUUCUCAGUAGAAGAUAACCCUGCUAUUGCCCAAUACUCUUUCAUUAAAAAAUUAUUUGCACAGUCAUGGGUGUAUGGCAUUUCCUUUUUUGCUUAAGACAGACCCUCGGUGAGUUGAAUUUUUCUAAGGAAUUUUGAAUUGUAAGAGACAGAAAUGAAUGAAUAUUUAUUUAGAGGAAAAAUAUUGAGUCCUUACAUUUCCUACAGCACUUUGAAGUUUGCAGAGGGCUCCCUUCCCCCUUCCUCAACUAUCACUUUUGUACUUAAACAAAACCUCUGUGAGACAGUAGUAUUACCAGCACCACAAAAGUAGCAGAGGACUCUUGGAAAGCUGGCCAGAGCAGCCUUACAGAAUUCAGAAGCUUUAUUUACAUUCACCUGAACCGUUAUCCUAACUUCCUUCCUUCCUACUUAGUUAUGUUCAAUCAACUUAUCAUCUAGACUCAGCCACGAGCUUACUGUGUGUCCUGAUCCAUUGCUUAGCAAUCGUUCCCUCUUGGAUCAUGAGAGGUGGUAAGUUUCUAGGAUAUGUGUGUGAGUGCAUAUGUGUGCAAAUGUGUAGGAAUUGGUGAGGGAUGAAGGACUCAGAGAUCAUCUUUAGACAGAGUCCUGUGUUCCCCACCCAGGCGUGUGGAUUUUCUCUAGUAAGAAGGGUGAGGAGGCUAGGAUCUCGGAUGCCUUGGGCAACGUGGAAGAGGGCUUGGUACAGCAGAGGCUGUUACGGUGAAUAUGGGGGUCAGAGGAUGAAGGUCUGGGAAAUGGAUGGAGCCAAGGCAAUGGAGGGGAUUCCUGAGGUGGAACUGACCAGUCUUGGAGGUAAGGGAGAUACAGCAACUCAAGAUAUUGAUGAGGCGUCUAAUAGAGGUGGCCAAUAGUGCUGUUAUCAGAGAAGAGAACAAGAGGGAGACAACUGGGGUGGUAGCCUAGGGGGCGGCGGCGGGAGAGUUGAAACGAUAGAAGCCACUUUAGGAUGUGAUGAGCUUGAAGUGAAAUGUUUAGGUAGCUUGAAGUAGCCAUCCACAUUACAGAGAAAGAGAACAAAACCUGAGAUUUAGAGUUAAUGCUCGACAGUGUGUAAAGACCUGGACGCACAGACCAAAGCAUCUAGGAAGAGGGUGGCACCAGAUUGAAUCAGCCCACAUGACUCACACAUGUUAGAAAUGUCAUAUGUAUAUAUAUAUAUAUGUAUUUGGUCUUUUUUUUUGCCAUUUCUUGGGCCGCUCCUGCGGCAUAUGGAGGUUCCCAGGCUAGGAGUCGAAUCGGAGCUGUAGCCACUGGCCUACACCAGAGCCACAGCAACGCAGGAUCCGAGCCACGUCUGUGACCUACACCACAGCUCACGGCAAUACCAGAUCCUUAACCCACUGAGCAAGGCCAGGGAUCGAACCCGCAACCUCAUGGUUCCUAGUCAGAUUCGUUAACCACUGUGCCACAAUGGGAACUCUGGAAAUGUCAUAUGUUUUUACAACGUGUAAGGCAACUCCAUUUCAUACCGAGCACUCCUCCUUGUAGUCUGGGGGAAAACCUAAUUUCGUAUCUUUGAUUUUCCCUUCCUGAGGCAGUGCUGAGACAUCAGGAUGCAGAGUGGUGAUCUGGUCCUUGGUCACCUGUUGGGUAGGUUAUUUGCCAAGGCUUGCCAUCAUUCCUACUAGAUCCUUUUUCUCUGCCAUGGCUGUGCCAUGAGAUGCCACUUGUUGUUUUGUCUGAUGAGCUUCAGCUCCACCCAGCUCUUGGGCUUGGAGUUUUGCUGUCAACCUUUUGGGAGUGUGAGGGAAGCAUGGCUGCUCUGGGAUCCUUUGGUAUCGUUCGUCUUUCCUCUCUGAGUUUUAGCCCAGGGACCUCUCUUUCUAGGGCAGGGAAGGAAGAAAGGAUGAAGCGCCCUUCCUCUCGCUUCUCACAUACCCUCCCCUCUUCUCCCCCAAACCACCACUUCUCUUAAGGGCUUAAACAUGUUUGUGUGUGUGUGUGUGUGUGUGUGUGUGUGUGUGUUGGGGGAAAGGCAGACAGACUUGCUGGUUAUUUGCUUAUGGCCCUGAUGCAUGCCUCCUGGUAGCUGUGGAGGAUCACGAUGGCUACCACACUGAACUGGGAGGACGGAAACAAACAAAUACAGAUACAGAGAGAAACAAGAGUAAUAUCUGAAAAUACCAUCUAGCUACAGUGUUCAAGUAAGAGGAGAAACCAAGCAGGCUUUGGGCUACAGAGUAUAGAGACAAGAGAGAACAGGAAGAUGACAUCCAGGGAAGAAGCCAGAAAGCUCCCAGAGAAUGCAACAAAAAGCACCACUCUCAGGAUGUCGAGAUGCAAGACAUGGCCCCAGCUAUGAUGAUACCAGGACAUGCCAGAGGAGGGCAGGCGAGUCAUAGCCCGGGGCUUUAAAGUAAGCCUGUGGAGUUCCCAUUGUGGCUCAGAGGUAGCAAACAUGACUAGUAUCCAUGAGGACUCGGGUUUGAUCCCUGGCCUCGCUCAGCGGGUUAAGGGUCCAGUGUUGCUGGGAGAGCGUCAGUGUAGGUUGCAGAUGAGGCUUGGAUCCCAAAUUGCUGUGGCUGUGGCUGGCAGCUGCAGCUCCAAUUUGAUCCCUAGCCUGGGAAACUCCAUAUGCCAUAGGUGUAGCCCU